Long non-coding RNA from Lycium ferocissimum, 1126 nucleotides. RefSeq lists it as uncharacterized. NCBI's taxonomy places the organism in Eukaryota, Viridiplantae, Streptophyta, Magnoliopsida, Solanales, Solanaceae. The record is from RefSeq and is a predicted model, not a curated record. The transcript has 3 exons.
UAGCGACGGAAGGUAGAAGCGUCGUUAAUUCCGUCGCUAUCUCUUUUAAUUAAGAGAUAAAUAAAUCCUAGGGCACAAAUAGGCACUUCUCUCAUUUCAAGCACCACAACACAUACACAAAUAGCUAUUCUCUCAUUUCCACGGUUAAACCAUCACUGAAAGCACCAAAAGACCUUAAAGAACACCAUGUCCUUCACCACCGAAACCACUGACACUCGGCAGAAGAAGAAUUAAAACAUUUUCUCACUCUAAAACCUUUUUGUUUCUCUACAUUAAAGAAACCAUGUUCUUCACUUUGCUGAAACCAUUGUUCUUCACUUCGCCGUGCUUUAGGUGUUGUAUUAUAUGUAUAUAUUUGUAUAUUUUCUUAUCUUAGUUGUAGAAACGAGUAUGAUUAUUUAAACCAUCAAAAGAUUGACAAAAUAUUGUGUAUUUGAGUCAAAAUCCAGUGGAUCUUAGCAAAACCCACUGGGUAUUUCAUUUUACUCUUAGUUUGGUGUAAUUUUGGUAUUUUGUUUGUUUUCAAAGUUCUGGUUCAUUGAAUUUCUUUGCAUGUGGGUUUUUGGUUUGUUCUCUUUUUUUUGAUUUGGGUUUUCUUCCAUUAAUUUGGAUGUAUGUUUUAAACUGAGUCUUUAGAAGAAAUAAAAUGGUUUGACAGCUUAGGAAUUAAAUUUUCUACUUGAAAAUAAUUCAUCUUAACAGGAUCGUAGUGAGAAGUUGGGUUCGAAGCUCGGUCCGUGGAAGCUGGUUGGUUCAGAAAUUACAAUGUCGGUUGAUUUAGCACUUUGAGGUAGUGGACGUUAGAAUUUAUUGAAGUUCGAUUCACUUAAGGUUCUGCAUUUUAGCUGCUGUUGAAGGACUGCUGCCUGCUAUUGAAGUUCUACUCACUUUAAGGUAAAUAGUUGAUUUGAGAUGACUCCGCUGGACGAAUGGAUACAGAGGAUUAUAUAGCUAACUUCAACUAUUUUGUAGGGUAUUCAGUAUUGUGCUUCAAAUUCCCGUUAAUGUAGACCAUUGCAAAGGAUUAUUCAGAUUAUUAGUGUUAAUAUAAACCUAAAUGACCAUUUCUAUUUUCCUACUGUUUUCCAUUACUAGCAGUCUGCUUGCUUAAUUUGGUUGCCUCCUU